RNAcentral lists this small nucleolar RNA (124 nucleotides) under Terrapene triunguis (Three-toed box turtle). Its description in RNAcentral is "Terrapene carolina triunguis (Three-toed box turtle) Small nucleolar RNA SNORA72 (ENSTMTG00000001296.1)". It matches the Rfam family "Small nucleolar RNA SNORA72". Rfam says of the family: U72 is a member of the H/ACA class of snoRNAs. Lineage: Eukaryota; Metazoa; Chordata; Testudines; Emydidae. The record is from Rfam by way of RNAcentral.
CUGCAAAUAUUGUCGCUGUCCUGAUAGUUCAAUGAUCAGGCUAGUCACUUGCUAUAUUAAAACUCUGCAAUGUGUCCCCAGGAAUUGCUUAUUUCUCUAGUUUUGUGUUUGGCUAGUGACAUAU